GACGAACGCUGGCGGCGUGCUUAACACAUGCAAGUCGAACGGAAAGGCCCUGCUUUUGUGGGGUGCUCGAGUGGCGAACGGGUGAGUAACACGUGAGUAACCUGCCCUUGACUUUGGGAUAACUUCAGGAAACUGGGGCUAAUACCGGAUAGGAGCUCCUGCUGCAUGGUGGGGGUUGGAAAGUUUCGGCGGUUGGGGAUGGACUCGCGGCUUAUCAGCUUGUUGGUGGGGUAGUGGCCUACCAAGGCUUUGACGGGUAGCCGGACUGAGAGGGUGACCGGCCACAUUGGGACUGAGGUACGGCCCAGACUCCUACGGGAGGCAGCAGUGGGGAAUAUUGCACAAUGGGCGGAAGCCUGAUGCAGCAACGCCGCGUGCGGGAUGACGGCCUUCGGGUUGUAAACCGCUUUCGCCUGUGACGAAGCGUGAGUGACGGUAAUGGGUAAAGAAGCACCGGCUAACUACGUG
This 468-nucleotide ribosomal RNA is filed under the name uncultured bacterium. Its description in RNAcentral is "partial 16S ribosomal RNA". It matches the Rfam family "Bacterial small subunit ribosomal RNA", at positions 28 to 507 of the family's 1533-position model. The record is from RNAcentral.